Molecule: ribosomal RNA, 508 nt
Filed under: uncultured bacterium
Lineage: Bacteria
Description: partial 16S ribosomal RNA
Rfam family: Bacterial small subunit ribosomal RNA
Source: RNAcentral
GAUGAACGCUAGCUACAGGCUUAACACAUGCAAGUCGAGGGGAAACGAUAGAGAAAGCUUGCUUUUUCUAGGCGUCGACCGGCGCACGGGUGAGUAACGCGUAUCCAACCUGCCCAUCACUUGGGGAUAACCUUGCGAAAGUAAGACUAAUACCCAAUGACGUCCAUAGAAGACAUCUGAAAGGGAUUAAAGAUUUAUCGGUGAUGGAUGGGGAUGCGUCUGAUUAGCUUGGUGGCGGGGUAACGGCCCACCAAGGCGACGAUCAGUAGGGGUUCUGAGAGGAAGGUCCCCCACAUUGGAACUGAGACACGGUCCAAACUCCUACGGGAGGCAGCAGUGAGGAAUAUUGGUCAAUGGGCGAGAGCCUGAACCAGCCAAGUAGCGUGCAGGAUGACGGCCCUAUGGGUUGUAAACUGCUUUUAUAAGGGAAUAAAGUGAGCCUCGUGAGGCUUUUUGCAUGUACCUUAUGAAUAAGGACCGGCUAAUUCCGUGCCAGCAGCCGCUGUAA